This 1916-nucleotide long non-coding RNA is filed under the name Nicotiana benthamiana. RNAcentral's name for it is "long non-coding RNA (NBEN_LNC004625)". Lineage: Eukaryota; Viridiplantae; Streptophyta; Magnoliopsida; Solanales; Solanaceae. The record is from RNAcentral.
GGAGACUUGGAUGUUAUUUACUGAUGGUUCAUCUAACGUAAAGGGGGAGGCUUAGGAAUUGUUCUUAUACCACCUACGGGUGAAACAAAUAGACAACUAUAAAAUUUCACCCUGAAACUAACAAUGAAGCAAAGUAUGAAGCUGUGAUUGCAGGUUUAGAGCUGGCACUGAAACUUGGUAUCACGCAAUUCAUAAUCAAAAGUGAUUCACAGCUCGUAGUAAAUCAAAUGCCGGGGACUUAUGUAGCCAGGGAAGCUCGAAUGCAAGAGUAUCUCGAAAAGGUACGAGAACUGAUAAGACAAUUCCAAACUUGGAAGGUAAUGCAAAUCCCAAGAGCAGAGAACGCGGAGGCAGAUGCUUUAGCUAAUCUUGCGUCUGCAGCAGACAUAGCGAAAGAUGCAAAUGCUUCAGUCAUACACUUAUUCCAUUCCGUUCUUGAACCUGACAAAAAUGAGGUAAACUUUAAUCACUUAACUUGGGAUUGGAGAAACGAAAUCGUAGAUUUUUUGCAGCAUGGAACCGUACCAGAGGAUAAAAUAAAGGUUCAUGCACUUGGAAAGAAAGCUGCUCGUUAUUGCCUAUAUCAAGGGAACCUUUACUGAAAAAUGUUUGGUGGACCAUUAGCCAGGUGUCUCGGACCUUCUCAAACGGAGUAUGUGAUAAUAGAAAUACAUGAGAAACAUUGUGGAAAUCAUGCAGUAGGCAGAUCACUUGUAAAGACAUUGAUUAGAGCAGGAUAUGAUUGGCUUAAAAUGGAAGAGGGAGCAAAUGAUUUCGCAUCUAAGCGUGACAAAUGCCAGAGGUAUGGCAAUAAUAUGCAUAGACCAGAUGAACUAUUACACCAUGUUAUAGCUCUGUAUCCCUUCAUGAAAUAGGGAAUAGGUAUCGUAGGUCCAUUACCACAAGCAAAAGGUCAGGUAAAGUUUCUACUCGUGCUUACUGAUUAUUUCACUAAAUUGGUAGAAGCAGGUGCGUUUAAAUAGGUGCGAGAGAAAGAAGUUAGGGACUUCAUUUGGAGAAAUAUAAUAUGCCGCUUUGAGGGUACCAAAGGUAAUCAUGUGUGAUAAUGGCCCACAAUUUAUAGGAGCACAAAUCAUAGAAUUCUUUUAAAGUUGGAAAAUCAAGAGAAUAACAUCAACACCAUAUCAUUCAGUGGGUAAUGGACAAACGAAAUCUACAAAUAAGGUAAUCAUCAACAACUUAAAGAAAAGGUUACAAGAAUCAAAAGGUAAUUAACCUGAAGUAUUACCUCCGUGUUAUGGGCAUAUCGAAUAACGGUAAAAAUAAGUACGGGAGAAACACCAUUUUCAAUGGUUUAUGGUGCAGUAGCUUUAAUACCGGUUAAGAUAGGUGAACCAAGUAUCCGUCGUGUUCAAGCAGCGGAGGACUCAAACAAUGAAGAGUUACGGGUAAAUCUUGAUCUCCUCGAAGGGAUAAGAGGAGCUGCGUUAAUAAGGAUGGCAGCUCAAAAGUGAGUAAUUGAGCGAUAUUACAACAGGAAGGCACGUCUCAGGUUCUUUAGAAUUGGGGACUUCGUGCUCAAAAAAGUGUUCCAAUCUACAAAGACAGCUAAUUCAGAAAAGCUAGGUCCAACUUGGGACUGACUUUAUAGAGUUCGUGAAAUUGCGGGAAAAAGAGCAUACAAAUUGAAGACAAUGAAUGGAAAGGUUUUGCCUUCACAUUGGAAUGCUGUUCAUUUGAAAAGAUAUUACUUCUAAGGAAGUAUCCUCGGUUAGGUAUCGCCAUGUUCUAACUGCCUAUCACUUCUCAUUUCUGAUUUUGGCUAAUAUUACUUAAACAAAAAGUACAAAAUCAAAGUAUUUUUACUAGAAAAUUUUAAGAUUUGGAUGCAUAACACCAAGCAUGCGAAGAACAAGAGAAAGAUUAGACUCUUUUAUUAUGGAGUAAUCCCCCAC